UACGAAGGGGGCUAGCGUUGUUCGGAAUUACUGGGCGUAAAGGGCGCGUAGGCGGUGUGUCAAGUCAGGCGUGAAAGCCCCGGGCUCAACCUGGGAACCGCGCUUGAGACUGGCACGCUCGAGUUCGGGAGAGGAUGGUGGAAUUCCCAGUGUAGAGGUGAAAUUCGUAGAUAUUGGGAAGAACACCGAUGGCGAAGGCAGCCAUCUGGACCGACACUGACGCUGAUGCGCGAAAGCGUGGGGAGCAAACGGG
This 253-nucleotide ribosomal RNA is filed under the name uncultured bacterium. Its description in RNAcentral is "partial 16S ribosomal RNA". It matches the Rfam family "Bacterial small subunit ribosomal RNA", at positions 524 to 776 of the family's 1533-position model. The record is from RNAcentral.